Molecule: ribosomal RNA, 292 nt
Filed under: uncultured Acidobacteriota bacterium
Lineage: Bacteria; Pseudomonadati; Acidobacteriota
Description: uncultured Acidobacteria bacterium partial 16S ribosomal RNA
Source: RNAcentral
GGACUACUGGGGUUUCUAAUCCUGUUUGCUACCCACGCUUUCGUGUCUCAGCGUCAGUUAUGGUCCAGUAAGCCGUCUACACCACCGGUGUUCCUCCUGAUAUCUACGCAUUUCACCGCUACACCAGGAAUUCCACUUACCCAUCCCACACUCUAGUCCCCCAGUUUUCGGCGCACCCUCCCGGUUGAGCCGGGAGAUUUCACACCAAACUUAGGGGACCGCCUACACACCCUUUACGCCCAGUAACUCCGAACAACGCUUGCUGCCUACGUAUUACCGCGGCUGCUGGCAC